GCCCAAGAAAAAUCUCACUCUCCUAACAUGUCAGUAUGGGCCUGGUUCAAAUACCUGCAAGCAGAAUGGAUCAUGCAGAAGAGAUGGAAGAAAAAGCAAUGACAAUUUUCUAUGAGGCAUUUUCCAGUAGUAUUGCAGUCUGAGACCUGUGAAGCCAUCUACUGAAUAUCCAACACUAUCAGUCACAGAAAUGGAGAGGAAGAUUAAGGUUUGCUGAGUUACUAAAGAAAGAAUGAUUACUUAACUCUAUGCACAGAUUUUAUAUAAGCUUUCAGAAGUUUCAUGAAUCUUCUUCCUGCAAUUAAAACUCAGUAACAUUUCUCUUAGAAGGUAACUUGGAGGACUGAGAGGACUGUAAUUAAAUGAUCAGAAUGGCUUUGUUUAUCAUUUUUGAGAAAAC
This 400-nucleotide long non-coding RNA is filed under the name Phasianus colchicus (ring-necked pheasant). RNAcentral describes it as "lncRNA (ENSPCLG00000001767.1)". Lineage: Eukaryota; Metazoa; Chordata; Aves; Galliformes; Phasianidae. The record is from RNAcentral.